UUGGAAAAGUCAUGUUUCAUG
RNAcentral lists this non-coding RNA (21 nucleotides) under Caenorhabditis elegans. The record is from RNAcentral. Lineage: Eukaryota; Metazoa; Nematoda; Chromadorea; Rhabditida; Rhabditidae.